UAAAACCAGCACCUCAAGUGGUCAGGAGGAUUAUUGGGCCUAAAGCAUCCGUAGCCUGCUCUGUAAGUUUCCGGUUAACAUGCAGAUGCAUCAACUAAUGGGCCGCCGGAAAAACUGCAAAGCUAGGGAGUGGGAGAGGUAGACGGUACUCGGUAGGAAGGGGUAAAAUCCUUUGAUCUAUCGAUGACCACCUGUGGCGAAGGCGGUCUACCAGAACACGUUCGACGGUGAGGGAUGAAAGCUGGGGGAGCAAACCGGAUUAGAUACCCGGGUAGUCCCAGCUGUAAACGAUGCAGACUCGGUGAUGCGCUGGCUUGUGGCCAGUGCAGUGCCGCAGGGAAGCCGCUAAGUUUGCCGCCUGGGAAGUACGUACGCAAGUAUG
This 382-nucleotide ribosomal RNA is filed under the name uncultured Nitrososphaerota archaeon. RNAcentral's name for it is "bacterial SSU rRNA". It matches the Rfam family "Archaeal small subunit ribosomal RNA", at positions 471 to 851 of the family's 1478-position model. Lineage: Archaea; Thermoproteati; Nitrososphaerota. The record is from RNAcentral.